GACGAACGCUGGCGGCGUGCUUAACACAUGCAAGUCGAACGGUGACGGAGAGCUUGCUCUCCUGAUCAGUGGCGAACGGGUGAGUAACACGUGGGCAACCAGCCCAGACUUCGGGAUAACGCUUCGAAAGAGGUGCUAAUACCGGAUACGAGCUCCUUGGGCAUCCUUGGAGUUGGAAAGUUUUUCGGUCUGGGAUGGGCCCGCGGCCUAUCAGCUAGUUGGUGAGGUAACGGCUCACCAAGGCGACGACGGGUAGCCGGCCUGAGAGGGCGACCGGCCACACUGGGACUGAGACACGGCCCAGACUCCUACGGGAGGCAGCAGUGGGGAAUAUUGCGCAAUGGGCGAAAGCCUGACGCAGCAACGCCGCGUGAGGGAUGACGGCC
RNAcentral lists this ribosomal RNA (386 nucleotides) under uncultured bacterium. RNAcentral's name for it is "bacterial SSU rRNA". It matches the Rfam family "Bacterial small subunit ribosomal RNA", at positions 28 to 416 of the family's 1533-position model. The record is from RNAcentral.